AUUUUUUACCAAGAAAUGGUCUCCACCAGAAAUCCAAGAAUGUGAUCUAUGGCAAGGAAACAUAUGUGGGGUGAGGUGUAUGAGCCUCUAGUCGAUGAUCAAUGGCCACACAACCCCCAUUUUUGUCGAAAAUAGCCAUGAAUGACCAUUUUCAAAAAUACCAAAGGCUAACACGUACGGAUUUUUAACCAAGAAAUGGUCUCCACCAGAAAUCCAAGAAUGUGAUCUAUGGCAAGGAAACAUAUGUGGGGUGAGGUGUACGAGCCUCUAAUCGAUGAUCAAUGGCCACACAACCCCCAUUUUGCCGAAAAUAGCCAUGAAUGACCAUUUUCAAUAAUACCGAAGGCUAACACGUACGAGUUUUUAACCAAGAAAUGGUCUCCACCAGAAAUCCAAGAAUGUGAUCUAUGGCAAGGAAACAUAUGUGGGGUGAGGUGUAUGAGCGUCUGGUCGAUGAUCAAUGGCCACACAACCCCCAUUUUUGUCGAAAAUAGCCAUGAACGACCAUUUUCAAUAAUACCGAAGGCUAACACCUACGGAUUUUUGACCAAGAAAUGGUCUCCACCAGAAAUCCAAGAAUGUGAUCUAUGGCAAGGAAACAUAUGUGGGGUGAGGUGUAUGAGCCUCUGGUCGACGAUCAAUGGCCACACAACCCUAAUUUUUGUCGAAAAUAGCCAUGAACGACCAUUUUCAAUGACAUUGAAGGCUAACACCUACGGAUUUUUGACCAAGAAAUGGUCUCCACCAUAAAUCCAAGAAUGUGAUCUAUGGCAAGGAAACAUAUGUGUAGUGAGGUGUAUGAGCCUCUGGUCGAUGAUCAAUGGCCACACAACCCCCAUUUUUGUCGAAAAUAGCCAUGAAUGACCAUUUACAAUAAUACCGAAGGCUAACACCUACGGAUUUUUGACCAAGAAAUGGUCUCCACCAGAAAUCCAAGAAUAUGAUCUAUGGCAAGGAAACAUAUGUGGGGUGAGGUGUAUGAGCCUCUGGUCGACGAUCAAUGGCCACACAACCCCCAUUUUGCCGAAAAUAGCCAUGAAUGACCAUUUUCAAUAAUACCGAAGGCUAACACGUACGAGUUUUUAACCAAGAAAUGGUCUCCACCAGAAAUCCAAGAAUGUAAUCUAUGGCAAGGAAACAUAUGUGGGGUGAGGUUUAUGAGCCUCUAGUCGAUGAUAAAUGGCCACACAAGAGCCAUUUUUUAUGAAAAUAGCCAUGAGCGACCAUUUUCAAUAAUACUAGAGGCUAACACCUACGGAUUUUAGACCAAGAAAUGGUCUCCACCAGAAAUCCAAGAAUGUGAUCUAUGGCAAGGAAACAUAUGUGGGGUGAGGUGUAUGAGCGUCUGGUCGAUGAUCAAUGGCCACACAACCCCCAUUUUUGUCGAAAAUAGCCAUGAAUGACCAUUUUCAAUAAUACCGAAGGCUAACACCUACAGAUUUUUGACCAAGAAAUGGUCUCCACCAGAAAUCCAAGAAUGUGAUCUAUGGCAAGGAAACAUAUGUGGGGUGAGGUGUAUGAGCCUCUAGUCGAUGAUCAAUGGCCACACU
Molecule: long non-coding RNA, 1550 nt
Filed under: Zea mays
Lineage: Eukaryota; Viridiplantae; Streptophyta; Magnoliopsida; Poales; Poaceae
Description: long non-coding RNA (ZMAY_LNC005784)
Source: RNAcentral